RNAcentral lists this unclassified non-coding RNA (21 nucleotides) under Mus musculus (house mouse). RNAcentral describes it as "oocyte_clustered_small_RNA13221". Lineage: Eukaryota; Metazoa; Chordata; Mammalia; Rodentia; Muridae. The record is from RNAcentral.
CUCAGUGUCAACUGUUUGUGC